GCUUGGCCUGGCUUUGUUGCCUGAACACUCGGUACCUGGCCUGUGUGUGUGGCUCUGGUGGCUUUUCACAGCCUGCCAGAGAGAGCACUGCAUUGUCCUGUGUGGAUAUUAAAACGAACACAGCUGCAGAUGGCCUGCCUCAGCAGCAAACGCCAGGCAUUCUUGCACCCUCCAGGUGCGAAGGAACUUCCAGGACCUGAAGCUGUUUAGGUGCCAGGCAUUGUCCCAGGCCAAGGCAAAGGCAACAAUGACUGUUGUCAACAGACUUUGCAUCAUGUGCCUGGGAGAUGCAGACAUACAGCCAGACAUCCCACAUUGUGAAUGUUUAAUAUUCUUAUGGAGCAGGGAGAGAGAACGCUGCCACAGCAUGGAGAGGGACGAGAAAGGAGACCGGCUCAAGCUGAAGACAGGGCAGCAGAGAGAGCAGUGUGUGGCUAGCUGUUUUAAGGUCCCUGCUGAGAGCAAAGCUGGAGAGCUGUUUUCUGGAAACUGAGAAUGCUUCCCACAGAGUGGUGGAGCGGAGCAGGAUCUGUGAUGGAGACGGAGACAGCAAUGGCAUCCUGAAUUUCCAAGGCACAAGCCCCAUGGAGAAAAAAAACCCAACCAGAGAGUCAUGUGGUCCCUUGUGUUUUCCAGCACCUCAGCCAAUGGGGCUGAUCCGCCCCACAGCACACACCAUCAUCAAGGGAGACCCCCCUCUGGAAGUCUCACAGAAGCCUGAAAAUCCUCUGUGUUUACUCUCUCAAACACUGGUGCGUUUGCCCCAGACCACAGCCAUUAGCACAGCUAAGGUGCGGUCUCUCCACAGGCAUAGCCACAAUUGCAUUACCUGGGCCCAAGUUCCUGAUAAAUGCAUUUCUUUGAUAUGGUGGUUAUUUAUUAUUCAAUAACUGUCCUGUUAAGCUUAAAUUAAUGGGAGUAUUUGAGAUCCAUCCCCAUGUAUUCUUCCAGUUGCUGGUGUCAAGGGAAUCUUGCCAGCUCUUUAAUAGCACCGUGCCCC
This is a long non-coding RNA of Mesocricetus auratus (golden hamster), 1000 nucleotides long. RefSeq lists it as uncharacterized. The transcript is spliced from 3 exons. The record is from RefSeq and is a predicted model, not a curated record. NCBI's taxonomy places the organism in Eukaryota, Metazoa, Chordata, Mammalia, Rodentia, Cricetidae.